GACAGAGGGUGCAAACGUUGUUCGGAAUUACUGGGCGUAAAGCGCGUGUAGGCGGUUUGGUAAGUCGGGUGUGAAAGCCCGGGGCUCAACCCCGGAAGUGCAUUCGAUACUACCAUACUAGAGUACUGGAGAGGAUGGUGGAACUCUCGGUGUAGAGGUGAAAUUCGUAGAUAUCGAGAAGAACACCGGUGGCGAAGGCGGCCAUCUGGACAGAUACUGACGCUGAGACGCGAAAGCGUGGGGAGCAAACAGG
Molecule: ribosomal RNA, 253 nt
Filed under: uncultured bacterium
Lineage: Bacteria
Description: partial 16S ribosomal RNA
Rfam family: Bacterial small subunit ribosomal RNA
Source: RNAcentral